GACCGCUGGUGUGAAACCAGAGGAAGGGGAGGGCAACGACAGGUCAGUAUGCCCCGAAUGUCUUGGGCUACACGCGCGCUACAAAGGGCAGGACAAUGGGAUGCUAGGCCGAGAGGCAUUCAAGCUAACCCGAAACCUGUUCAUAGUUCGGAUUGAGGGCUGUAACUCGCCCUCAUGAAGCUGGAUUCCGUAGUAAUCGUGUUUCAAUAUAGCACGGUGAAUAUGCCCCUGCUCCUUGCACACACCGCCCGUCAAACCA
RNAcentral lists this ribosomal RNA (259 nucleotides) under uncultured archaeon. Its description in RNAcentral is "partial 16S ribosomal RNA". It matches the Rfam family "Archaeal small subunit ribosomal RNA", at positions 1103 to 1360 of the family's 1478-position model. The record is from RNAcentral.